Molecule: ribosomal RNA, 406 nt
Filed under: uncultured bacterium
Lineage: Bacteria
Description: partial 16S ribosomal RNA
Rfam family: Bacterial small subunit ribosomal RNA
Source: RNAcentral
AUUGAACGCUGGCGGCAGGCCUAACACAUGCAAGUCGAACGAGUGGCGGACGGGUGAGUAAUGUCUGGGAAACUGCCUGAUGGAGGGGGAUAACUACUGGAAACGGUAGCUAAUACCGCAUAACAUCAGAUGUGCCCAGAUGGGAUUAGCUAUUUGGUGGGGUAACGGCUCACCAAGGCGACUAUCCCUAGCUGGUCUGAGAGGAUGACCAGCAACACGGGAACGUAGACACGGUACAGACUCCGACGGAAGGCAGCAGUGGGAAAUAUGGCACAAUGGGCGCAAGCCUGAUGCAGCCAUGCCGCGUGUAUGAAGAAGGCCUUCGGGUUGUAAAGUACUUUCAGCGGGGAGGCGUUACCCGCAGAAGAAGCACCGGCUAACUCCGUGCCAGCAGCCGCGGGAAUAC